This is an RNA transcript of Globicephala melas (long-finned pilot whale), 4848 nucleotides long. It is a transcript of the gene named centrosomal protein 83, with no coding region annotated. The record is from RefSeq and is a predicted model, not a curated record. Lineage: Eukaryota; Metazoa; Chordata; Mammalia; Artiodactyla; Delphinidae.
GCGCCGGCUCCCCACUCGUGGGCCCAGGCCCCAUGGCCGACGCGGUAGGCAGGAGACUUCGAGACUCAUUCCGUCUGCACGGUCGGACACAAAGGCAGGCGGCGGUGGCGGCAGGACCACUAUCAGUGCCCUCAGGGAAGAAAAAGUGUCGGAAGAGCCAGCGGAGCGCAGGAGAAGCGCGAAACUGGGAGAAACCGCCGAGACGUUGCGUGGGGAGGAGGCGAGGGGGAGCGGCUUCCCGCUCAACUGCGCGCGUCACUCUGGCUCCCUGAGGCAAGUGCCGGGCCCCGGACUGUGCGUUCCCUUCGGCUCUAGGGAUCUCCGCGGCCCCAAGAGGCUUCUCGGAGCGCCAACCUGGCCCCGCCGUUCCCACUAUGGUCGGGCACUACCCCAGCCUCGGCUCGCUCGCCGCCUCCCUCUUAACUGCCUCUGGCCGCGGCUGGCGUCCGCGGCGUCGGUGACGUCGACGUGGGGGCGGGACUUCCUGCUUCGCGCGCCCUUCGGUCUCGGGACUCAGCCCGCUCUGCGGGGUUUGAAGGGUGGCGGGCGGCGGGCUCGGGGUUGUUUCCUAGUCGGACUUCGGCUCCGGCCCCGCACCCCAGAGAAGGCCAGUCCACCGAGGAGGAGCGGGGUUUAUCUCCAUUGCUGCCACUGCCUUUUUCGCCUUCGGAGCUCUCUCGGGAUACCCCACAUUUCCAGGGGUCGGGAGCCCGAGGGGCGCUCUUGGCCCUGCGGCUCCUGCUCUUCAGCCUGCGCCGCGAGCGGCCGCCGAGACCUCGCCAGGCGUGACGGGCUGGGCCUGCACCCCGCGUCCGGGACCGUCUCCCGUGGCCCCAGUGCCCCGGCGGGAAGAGUGCCGUAGGCUCCCGUGGCUGGAGCAGUGGAGGUGUCCACCUGGAGAGUGCGGCCGGAACACCGGUCACUGUUAAGUUUUCUGUGCGCACGUUGCAAGGUCCGAGUGUGAGUCUGAGUAUGGAUUUCGUACCAGAAUCCACUCUUGAAGUUUACCUCAGUAACUUCAGGAAACAUUGGUGAUUUGUGACUCUGGGACUACCUAUACUGGAAGAGUCGUUACAUCUAGUUAGGCUAAUACUUGAAGAUACGACCUUGAUGGGCACAGAAACUGCAUGGAGUAAAGAAAAUUUAAGGUAUAAUUUGGCCUCCCGAGAUUCUGUCUUAGCACGAAGAAAGUGAAAAAUACUCUUGAAAAGAAAACUAAGACAAUAAGAAAGCAAGACUUGCUUUUACAUGGUUGUCAGCUCACUUACCAAUAUGGACACUUUUCCCACCAUUUUUCCUCCUGGUGGAGACAGUGGGCUGACAAGUUCUCAAUCUGAGUUCCAAAAAAUGUUAAUUGAUGAACGGUUACGAUGUGAACAUCAUAAAACUAAUUAUCAGACUCUGAAAGCUGAACACACAAGGUUGCAGGAUGAGUACAUAAAGUCACAAAAUGAGCUCAAGCGCCUAUUAAAUGAAAAGCAAACUCACCAGGAAAAAUUUCAGCUGCUGCUUGAAGAGCUACGAGGGGAGUUAGUAGAGAAAACUAAAGACUUAGAAGAAAUGAAGCUGCAGGUAUUAAGUCCACAGAAGUUGGAAUUGUUACGAGCUGAAAUACAACAAGAACUAGAAACUCCAAUGAGAGAAUGUUUUAGGCAUCUGGAUGAAGAAGUAGAAAAGUAUAGAGCUGAAUAUAAUAAACUUCGCUAUGAGCAUACAUUUCUCAAAUCAGAAUUUGAACACCAGAAAGAAGAAUGUGCACGUAUUUUAGAAGAAGAAAAAAUAAAAUAUGAAUCAGAGAUUGCAAGACUGGAGAAAGAUAAAGAAGAACUACAUAACCAGCUGCUUAGUGUUGAUCCCACAAGAGACAGCAAACGAGUGGAGCAACUUGUUCGAGAAAAAGUCCAUUUGUGUCAGAAAUUAAAAGGUUUAGAGGCUGAAGUAGCAGAAUUGAGAGCUGAAAAAGAAAAUUCUGGUGCUCAGGUAGAAAAUGUCCAGAGAAUUCAGGUGCGGCAGUUGGCUGAGAUGCAGGCUACAGUCAGAUCCCUGGAGGCUGAAAAACAGUCAGCUAAACUACAGGCUGAACGCUUGGAAAAAGAGCUACAAUCAAGCAAUGAACAAAACACUACUUUAAUUAGUAAAUUGCAUAAAGCUGAACGGGAAAUAAAUACAUUGACCAGUAAAGUAAAAGAACUUAAACAUUCAAACAAACUAGAAAUAACAGACAUCAAACUGGAGGCAGCAAGAGCUAAGAGUGAACUAGAAAGAGAAAGGAAUAAAAUUCAAAGUGAACUGGAUGGAUUACAGUCAGACAAUGAAAUUCUCACAUCAGCUGUUGAACACCACAAAGUGCUUUUAGUAGAAAAGGACCGUGAAUUAAUACGUAAAGUACAAGCUGCCAAAGAAGAAGGUUACCAAAAACUUGUGGUAUUACAAGAUGAAAAGCUAGAACUUGAGAGCAGAUUAGCGGAUUUAGAGAAAAUGAAAGUGGAACAUGAUGUCAGGAGGCAAUCUGAAAAGGAUCAGUGUGAAGAGAGAUUGCGAGCUUCACAGAUGGCAGAAGAGUCGGCCAGGAGGGAACUUCAGAGUAUUAGGUUAAAACUUCAACAACAAAUUGUGAAUAUUGAAAAUGCAGAGAAAGAAAAAAAUGAAAAUUCUGACCUGAAACAGCAAAUCAAUAGUUUGCAGAUCCAAGUGACCUCACUUGCACAGUCAGAGAAUGAGUUGCUGAAUUCAAACCAAACACUGAAGGAAAUGGUGGAGAGGUUAAAACAGGAAUGCCGAAAUUUAAGAAGCCAAGCUGAAAAAGCACAACUAGAAGUUGAAAAGGCAUUGGAAGAGAAGCAAGUACAGUGGUUGGAAGAAAAGCAUAGGCUUCAUGAACGUAUCACUGACAGAGAAGAAAAGUAUAAUCAAGCUAAGGAGAAAUUGCAGCGAGCUGCAAUUGCCCAAAAAAAGGCAAGUGACUAAGACAACACUUCACAAAAAAAGGAAAUCCAGAUGGUCAGUAUGCAUAAGAAAAGGUAAUCACCCUCAUUAGCUAACAGGAAAAUGCACAUUAAAGCUACAGUGACAUAUUAUUCUAUUCCACCAGAGUAGCUAAAAUUUUAAAAGACCGACCACACCAAGUGUUGGUAAGGAUGUAGAGCAAUUAGAACUGUUGUAUAUUGCUGGUGGGCCUGUAAUUAGUAAUUAGUUAGAACCACUUUAGAAAACUGACAGUUUUUACUAAAGAUAAAACAUAUGUAUACUGUAUGACUCAUUCCUCGGUAUAUACUCAAAGAGAAAUGAGGACAUAUAUCUACCAAAAGCAUAUUCAGGAAUGUUCAUAAAACUUGAUUCAUAGUAGCUUCAAAGUAGAAAACAAUUCAAAUUCUUAUCAGUAGGAGAAGGGAUAAAAUAUAGUGUGUUUGUAAAAUGGAUAACAGCAUAACAGUAGAGAGGAACUGUGACAUGCAAUAACAUGGCUUAGUCAUAGGGAUAAAAUGUUGAACAACCACCAAAAAAUCCAGAAACAGAAGUGUAUAUAGUGUAUGAUUUCUUUGAUGUGGGCAGGUGAAUGAAUAGACAGAGUCCUGAGUCACCUGUACAUAUAUACAUACUUGUGCUAAUAAAGGACAGAAGGGUGGUUCCUGGGCCAGGGUAGGCGAUGAAUGAGCUAUACCCGUAAGCAGUAACAUGAAUAAAUCUCGCAGUAUUGAGUGAAAGAAAAAAGCCAUCUGUAAAAGAAUGUGCACUGUGACUCCAUUUGUAUGAAGUUCAAAAAUACACAAAACUACAGCUUUGGAAGUAAAUUAGUUGGUUACCUUUUCAGAGGACAGAGGGGGUAGAGAUUGAAAGGAGGGAAGGGUAGGGGCCCUUUUGGUACGGCAGUGCUCUUGACCUGUGAGGUAACAACACCAGCAUUUGCUUCGUGGUUUUACAUUUUGCUUUACAUUUACAUUAUGUGCAUUUUUCUGUAAGCCUGUUAUACUUAGGUAAAGAGUUAGAAACCAGAAAUCUAAAAGGUCUGGAGCUACUAAGUGAGGGUCAACAUUUAUAGGUGUUUUUCUGUAAAAAAUAAAAUAAAAACGACCUGUUUAUAAAACUGAAAAAGUGUUACCUUUUUUCAUUUACUACUUUUGCAUUAUACAUAGAUUUUUCCAUAUUAGAAAAUUUUCCCUUUAUGAAGUUUAAAUUUUUUUCUUUUUAAUAUUUAGAAAGGCAUGCUUUCAAACUGAGAUGCAUCCAUAAUCAAUCUUAUCUGUCUGAUCCUUUAAUUUACUACUUUGGUAGCAAUUUAUCAGUUGCAAACAUGCUUUUAAAUUUUAAAUUUAUAGUUGUUUUAAACCCAUGAUAAUCGUCUGGGAAAAUGAACAGUCACGAUUAUGAGGUGACAGGUAAACUCAUUAGUAAAACUUGACUCCUUCCCUUCCUAGAUUUUUUAUUUGCACAAUUUCCUUAUUGAUAUCAAUUUUCUGGCUUGACAUUUAUAAUGGUUCUGUUUGUCACGUUGAGGAUAUGAGGUAGAUCUGUGUUUUAUUACCUUUAAAAUUUUUAGUAAGCAUCAUAUCUACUAAUCUUUGCUCCUAGUAUUCCCUGAAAAUACUCAUCUCUAAGUAAAAUUUUUUUGGUGAGUAAAAUAUUCACUAUAUAGCUUUGUUCAAAUAGGAGAGUAUGUAUUACCAUACUUGCUCAUAUUAAUUGUUUCUCUUUUUCUAGAGAAAAUCUCUCCAUGAAAACAAGUUGAAGAGAAUGCAGGAAAAGGUAGAAGUCUUGGAGGCAAAGAGAGAAGAAUUAGAAACAGAAAAUCAGGUGUUAAAUAGACAAAAUGUUCCAUUUGAAGAACAUACAAGGCUUCAAAAAAGACUA